UGAUUAAAACACUAGAGCUUUCAAUUGCUUCUUGAUUGUUCUUAAACUUUAACAUGCAUAAGAAUCAUCUAAACAGAUUAAAAACUCCUCUGCUCCAGCCUGUGGAUGGAUUCACUGAGUUUGGUGGGGAGAUCUUAGAAUGUAAUUUAUUUUGUAAUUAAUAGACUUUUAGAGCACUUUUUGGUUUUUUUUAAACAAAUUUAUUAAAGUAUAAAUGACAUACAAUAAACCGCACAUAAAGUGUACAAUUUAAUAAGAUUUGACAUACAGAUACAUUCAAGUAACUACAGCACAGUUAAGAUAAUGAACACAUCCUCCACUCACUGAAAUUUCAUUGAUCCCUUUUGUAAUCCUUUCCUUUUGACUUUUUGGUUUUCAAAAGAAAAAAUGAGCAUACAGAGUUCCCAUGUACCCUCUCUCCAGUAACCCCUCCUCGAGUUUUCCCUGUUGUUAACAUCUGGUAUUAGUGUGGUACAUUUUUACAAUUGAGCCAAUGAUACAUUAUUUUUAACUAAAGUCCAUAGUUUAGAUAGAAGGCCUAAUCUUAGAGGAAGAGGUGGCCUUAGAGGAAGAGGAAAAAAAAAGAAAUCACUCAGAAGAAAGGCCAUGUGAGGACACAGCAGCCGUCUGCAAGCCAGGAAGAGAGCCCUCAGUGUAAAUAGAACUCUACUGACACCUUGACCUUGGACUUCCAGCCUGCAGAACUGUGGGAAGGUAAACUUCUGUUGUUUAAACCGCACAGCCUGUAGUAUUUUGUUGUGGUAGCCCGAGCGGACUAAUACAUACCCUAAGAUCAUACUUUGAGAUAUCACUACUCUACACUAGAGGCAAGAAAGUGUGGUCUGAAAUCCACCAAUAUCUACAUCACCUGUGAGUUUGUCAGGCAUUCAGAAUCUGGGGCCCUGCCUCAGACCUCCUUAAUCACUAUCAUCAUUUUAACAACAUCCUCAGGUGGUUCCAGGUAAGCACAUUAAAAUGUGAGAAGGCUGGGAGUGGUAGCUCAUGCCUGUAAUCCCAGCACUUUGGGAGGCUGAGGCAGGAGGGCUGAUUGAGCUCAGGAGUUUGAGACCGGUCUGGUCAACAUAGUAAACCCCAUCUCUACAAAUAAUUCAAAAAAAUUGGCCAGGCAUAGUGGCUCACACCUGUGGGUAGUGGCACCCAGCUACUCAAGAGGCUGAGAGAGGAGGAUCGCCUGAGCCCAGGAGGUCGAGGCUGCAGUGAGCUACGAUGGCACCACUGCCCUCCAGCCUGGGUAACAGAGUGAAAAACCCUGCCUUAAAAAAAAAAAAAAAGAAAAAAGAAAAAAAAAAUGAGAAGUCCUGCUCGACAGCACACUGGGCACAGCUUUGUGUUUGUUUACUUAUAUACCUUAGGCUCCCUUGGAGCCAUGCAGAGCUCACUGAGCAGAGGAAGAAGCUAGUGUUACAAUCAGCUCACUGCACUUUACCCUAAUGAGACAAUCCAGCUUCAUUUUUAUGUCAGCCCUACUCACAUGAAUAGAAUCACUUAUUAUCUCAUUAGGUUUCAAGCAGCAAAUAUCCCUAACCUUGAUCAUCGGACUACACUUGCAAAUUUAUUUCUGAUUCUUAAUCUCUUGUAUUAUAAUAAUCAGGUAAAAUAAUCUUCUUUGAGAUCCUAACAUUAAAGGAAAUAUUAAUAUGCCAUAAUGAAACAAAAAUGAGGUAAACAUUUUAGAGCUGCCAAGUUAAUUCCAACCUUCCUGUGGGAUUUUUAUAUUCAGUUCCUUAACUGAUCUUUACAACUCUGAAAAGUUGACAGCUCAAAUUUUAUAACCCCCGUUUUGCAGAAGAAGAAACUGAAGCCCAUGGAGAGUAAGAGACUUAUUUUCACAAGGCACGUGGGAUGCACCCAGGUCACAAACCUUCAUCGUCUGACAUCUUUCAGCACUUGCUUCUAUAAGGUUUGCCAAGUUUAUAAAAGCUGGAAUACUGCCAAAUGAAGUCCUGAAAAAUCUAAGGCAAGAUAGAUACAGAGAAGGGAAGAAUUUGUGAUCAUUUUUUCUAUCUACUCCAGGAACUAUUAAUAUCGCCGUGAGGCACAGAGAGGUUAAAGAACUUAAAGCUUAAGUUAAAGCUUAUUGAGCUACAAAGUGACAAAGCCAAGAUUCAAACAAGGCAGUCUUGCUUCAUCACCAAGAAGCUACCCACUAUACUAUAUUGCAAAUGCCACAAAGGGCUGAUUCCUGUGCUGUGGGAACACAUAAGAAAAGCCUUCAAUUCAAUCUUGGGUAUUAGGGAAGCUUUCAUAGAUGAACCUAAUGGCAAUUCCAAAUCCUAAUGGACAAGCAUGUAUCAACCACUUGAGAAGGAAGAAAGAAGAGGAACAUUGUCUUAAAACAGACCACAUAUGCAAAGUAACAGAGAUUGAGAAAGUUUAUGGUGCAGAGAGCUGCAAGUAGUUCCCUGGGCUGGAGAGCAAGUUCUGUGGCAGGAGAGGUGAGCAGUGGCCAGACUGUGGCAGUCUUAAAACCAAGCUUUGGACUUAAGUUUUAAUCAGAGACAUCAGCAGACCACUGAAAAAUUUCAGUCCAAGGAAUAAUAGCUUUAGAUUGUGGCUUUAGAUUCACCACUCUGGCAUUCAUGAAAAGAAUGGAAUCAGGCAACAUGGCAAACAGGUGGAGUAAUUUCCAAGGGUCAUCCAGUGACUAAACAAUAAAGUCUGAUGGCCUGAACUAAGGUAGAGGCAAUGGAGAUUUUUAAAAAGACACACUAGAAAGAUAAUUAGAAGGCAAGACUUGAUGACUGGUAAAUGUGAUGAAGGAGUCAGAAUGAUGAUGCCCGAGUUCUGGCUGAGAUGCUGCUUGGAUGAUGGUACCUUUCCUGAACCAUGGAGGUCACAAAGGCAUUUCAGAGAAGGAGAUGACAUCUUCUCAUUUGCAUAUGAAAAUGAAUUAUUCAGUUAUGAGAUGGGAAUUACCCUGGAGUUCCAGAGAGAGACUGGGUUGAAGAAAUAGAUCCGAAUGUCAUCAGUUGAUAUGGUUUGAAUUUGUGUCCUCACCCAAAUCUCAGGUAAAAUUGGAGGAGGGGCCCGGUGGGAGGUGAUUGGAUCAUGGGGCCAGAAUCCCCCUUGCUAUUCUCAUGAUAGUGAGUGAGUUCUCACAAGAUCUGAUGGUUUAAAAGUGUAUCGCACUUCCUGUUUCACUCUCUCUCUCUCCUGCCAGCAUGUGAAGAAGGCGCUUGUUUCCCCUUUACCUUUCCGCCACGAUUGUAAGUUUCCUAAGGCUUCCCAGCCAUGCUUCCUAUACAGCCUGUGGAAUUGUGAGUCAAUUAAACCUCUUUUCUUCAUAUAUUAGCCAAUCUCAGGUAGUCCUUUAUAGCAGUGUGAGAACAGACUAAUACACCAGUAUACAGAAAAAAGUGGCCAUGGAAAGUGUAUGUCCAUAAUACAUUGCAUUUAAUAGGCAUUUUUCUGUACCUUGAACAAUUUCAAAACACUUUACACUAUUUAACUAGUUUAAUUUUCACAACAAGUCUAUGAGGUAAUACUGUUAUUAUACUCAUUUUACAGAUGAGAAAAUUAAGGCACACAGUUAUUAAGGCAAACAGUGGUAGAGCCAGCAUUCAAACCUGGGUAAUCUGGCUGUAGACCUUAUGCUGCUAAUCAUGAAGUUAUACCGCUCCUCUGUACAGAAUGAGGAAGGAUUCUACUGCAGAAUACUGCACAAUACAAAUACUAACCUUGGCUUACCAUGGUGAACGAGGUACAAAAAUCCAGCCUUCAAAAAAUGUCAGUUGGUAAGAAAUGUAGGGCUGUAUCAUUGUGAGGUGGCUAGGAAAAAAUACACACUCAUUCAUUAUGCGCAAUCACAAAAAAACACAAAAUCGUGAAAAUUACAUUACAUUAACAGAUAACACACUAAACUGAAAAAGUCCCAAAUAACCCCAAGGCAGAGGGCAGAAUCCCUUUUUAAUUCCAUCCCACUAAACCUAUUGCUCCUCCAUAGAAAAUAGUUAUGUUAGUCUGUCCCACUGAAGAACUGGGACGGGGCACAGGAUUGGAGCCAAUUUUUAAAUGAAUUUUAUCAGAAUUCUGGCUAUCCCUGUGCCAUGAAAUCAAGCAAAAAGAAUUUUCCAAGGAGGCAGAGGCUUAGUUACAAGAGGUAACAAGAUGUCAAGGACACCAAAACCUGAAAUAACUUAUUGAUAGUAUUUAGAAAUAAGGAGAUCAGGCCGGGCACAGUGGCUCACGCCUGUAAUCCCAGCACUUUGGGAGGCCGAGGCGGUCGGAUCACGAGGUCAGGAGAUUGAGACCAUCCUGGCUAACACGGUGAAACCCCAUCUCUACUAAAAAUACAAAAAAUAAGCCAGGUGCAGUGGCGGGUGCCUGUAGUCCCAGCUACUCGGGAGGCUGAGGCA
Molecule: long non-coding RNA, 4376 nt
Filed under: Homo sapiens (human)
Lineage: Eukaryota; Metazoa; Chordata; Mammalia; Primates; Hominidae
Description: HSALNT0069994
Source: RNAcentral